Molecule: ribosomal RNA, 97 nt
Filed under: Corynebacterium diphtheriae
Lineage: Bacteria; Bacillati; Actinomycetota; Actinomycetes; Mycobacteriales; Corynebacteriaceae
Also listed under: 2 other names
Source: RNAcentral
GGGUACGCCCGGUCCCUUUCCGAACCCGGAAGCUAAGCCCGAUUGCGCUGAUGGUACUGCACCUGGGAGGGUGUGGGAGAGUAGGUCGCCGCCAACC